This 218-nucleotide unclassified non-coding RNA is filed under the name Hevea brasiliensis (rubber tree). Lineage: Eukaryota; Viridiplantae; Streptophyta; Magnoliopsida; Malpighiales; Euphorbiaceae. The record is from RNAcentral.
GGUUACUCCCUGAGAAUACAUGCCUGGUGGAGGAGGGUACACACUCUGCCCAUACACAGGAGGUUGCGCGGUUUGAUAAGAUCCAGACUGGUCAUUUCCUGCCUGAGGAAGCGAUUGGGUCGGGUCACUCGGGUAAGUCCAGUACCCAGUGGAAACUUGGUAUGCUGCAUUGGGAUAUGUAGCUUCAGAGGUUCCAUUUGUUGAUGGCAAAGCAGGUG